RNAcentral lists this ribosomal RNA (506 nucleotides) under uncultured bacterium. RNAcentral's name for it is "partial 16S ribosomal RNA". It matches the Rfam family "Bacterial small subunit ribosomal RNA", at positions 28 to 523 of the family's 1533-position model. The record is from RNAcentral.
GAUGAACGCUAGCUACAGGCUUAACACAUGCAAGUCGAGGGGUAACGAGAGGGAAGCUUGCUUUCCUUGUCGACGACCGGCGCACGGGUGAGUAACGCGUAUCCAACCUGCCCCCAACUAGGGAAUAACCUUGCGAAAGUAAGACUAAUACCCUAUAAUUUCCUCAGAUGUCAUCUGACGAGGACUAAAGAUUUAUCGGUUGUGGAUGGGGAUGCGUCUGAUUAGCUUGUUGGCGGGGUAACGGCCCACCAAGGCAACGAUCAGUAGGGGUUCUGAGAGGAGGGUCCCCCACAUUGGAACUGAGACACGGUCCAAACUCCUACGGGAGGCAGCAGUGAGGAAUAUUGGUCAAUGGGCGGAAGCCUGAACCAGCCAAGUAGCGUGCAGGAUGACGGCCCUAUGGGUUGUAAACUGCUUUUAUACAGGAAUAAAGUUAGCCACGUGUGGUUAUUUGUAGGUACUGUAUGAAUAAGGACCGGCUAAUUCCGUGCCAGCCGCCGCCGUAA